Molecule: ribosomal RNA, 253 nt
Filed under: uncultured bacterium
Lineage: Bacteria
Description: partial 16S ribosomal RNA
Rfam family: Bacterial small subunit ribosomal RNA
Source: RNAcentral
UGCGUAGGGAGCAAGCGUUGUCCGGAAUCAUUGGGCGUAAAGCGCGCGUAGGCGGCCUCAUAAGUCCGUUGUGAAAGUCAAAGGCUCAACCUUUGAAAGCCGAUGGAUACUGUGAGGCUAGAGUCCGGAAGAGGCGAGUGGAAUUCCUGGUGUAGCGGUGGAAUGCGCAGAUAUCAGGAGGAACACCAAUAGCGAAGGCAGCUCGCUGGGACGGUACUGACGCUAAGGCGCGAAAGCGUGGGGAGCAAACAGG